This 61-nucleotide transfer RNA is filed under the name Dendroctonus valens (red turpentine beetle). RNAcentral describes it as "tRNA-Ala". The record is from RNAcentral. Lineage: Eukaryota; Metazoa; Arthropoda; Insecta; Coleoptera; Curculionidae.
AGGAUAAUAGUUUAUAAAAACAUUUAAUUUGCAUUUAAAAAAUAUCUUACGAUUUAUCUUA